Molecule: transfer RNA, 72 nt
Filed under: Fukomys damarensis (Damara mole-rat)
Lineage: Eukaryota; Metazoa; Chordata; Mammalia; Rodentia; Bathyergidae
Rfam family: tRNA
About the family: Transfer RNA (tRNA) molecules are approximately 80 nucleotides in length. Their secondary structure includes four short double-helical elements and three loops (D, anti-codon, and T loops). Further hydrogen bonds mediate the characteristic L-shaped molecular structure. tRNAs have two regions of fundamental functional importance: the anti-codon, which is responsible for specific mRNA codon recognition, and the 3' end, to which the tRNAs corresponding amino acid is attached (by aminoacyl-tRNA synthetases). tRNAs cope with the degeneracy of the genetic code in two manners: having more than one tRNA (with a specific anti-codon) for a particular amino acid; and 'wobble' base-pairing, i.e. permitting non-standard base-pairing at the 3rd anti-codon position.
Source: Rfam by way of RNAcentral
GGGGAUGUGGCUCAGUGGUAGAGCACUCGCCUACUAUGCCUGCAGCCCUGGGUUCAAUCCCCAGCACUACAA